Molecule: non-coding RNA, 63 nt
Organism: Vibrio furnissii NCTC 11218
Lineage: Bacteria; Pseudomonadati; Pseudomonadota; Gammaproteobacteria; Vibrionales; Vibrionaceae
Source: Rfam
AUUCCUACUGUUAUUGCUCGCAGACAUUUUUUAUAAAAAAGUUCAUAUAAUGACGAGCAGUAA